AAUCCUACGGGGGGCAGCAGUGGGGAAUAUUGCACAAUGGGGGAAACCCUGAUGCAGCGACGCCGCAUGAGCGAUGAAGUAUCUCGGUAUGUAAAGCUCUAUCAGCAGGGAAGAAAGUGACAGUACCUGACUAAGAAGCCCCGGCUAACUACGUGCCAGCAGCCGCGGUAAUACGUAGGGGGCAAGCGUUAUCCGGAUUUACUGGGUGUAAAGGGAGCGUAGACGGAGAAGCAAGUCUGAAGUGAAAGCCCGUGGCUUAACCACGGGACUGCUUUGGAAACUGUUUGACUAGAGUGCUGGAGAGG
RNAcentral lists this ribosomal RNA (305 nucleotides) under uncultured bacterium. RNAcentral describes it as "bacterial SSU rRNA". It matches the Rfam family "Bacterial small subunit ribosomal RNA", at positions 335 to 657 of the family's 1533-position model. The record is from RNAcentral.